Molecule: ribosomal RNA, 253 nt
Filed under: uncultured bacterium
Lineage: Bacteria
Description: partial 16S ribosomal RNA
Rfam family: Bacterial small subunit ribosomal RNA
Source: RNAcentral
UACGUAGGUGGCAAGCGUUGUCCGGAUUUACUGGGCGUAAAGAGCGCGCAGGCGGUCGUACAAGUCGCGUGUGAAAGCCCCCGGCUCAACUGGGGAGGGUCACGCGAUACUGUUCGACUCGAAGGCAGGAGAGGGAAGCGGAAUUCCCGGUGUAGUGGUGAAAUGCGUAGAUAUCGGGAGGAACACCAGUGGCGAAGGCGGCUUCCUGGCCUGUUCUUGACGCUGAGGCGCGAAAGCUAGGGUAGCAGACGGG